UUUGUACGGACGCGCUGUGUUACAUAGUAACACUGUGUCUGUUUCACUUGUCUCCUAGGCAACCUGGACGGCUGCGGAAAGCCUGACGCCGGGCGCUGCACUGUGACGUCAGGGCGACUGCAUGCUGCCGGGAUGCCGCGCUCUGGGUGUGUUUGUAUCACUGGUGGCUGGUAUCUAUAUAGAGGUUUGAUGUGAGCUAAACACUGCAGAGCCUAUUUCCUCUAUCCCACAGAAUAUUCUGUUUGACAGCUCACACAUCUGGAAUAUAUAAUGCUGGAGGCUGAGCAGUGAUUUACACUUUAAGGAAAAGAGCAAUGUGGUAACCAGUCAUGUUCCCCUGAUCAUACUACUCAGGACUGCAGAGAUUUAAUACAGUAUGGAUACAAACAGAUCAGGACAACAAGGCAUAGUAAAACGGGGGACAUUUAUUUAUACUGAGGAUGUGAUACAACCAAGCAUAGUCAUUUCACAAGUAAAGUGCUUGCAUUUUGGGAACAUGCUAACACCAUGGUAUUAAAGGUUUAUGCACACUGUAGUGGGUGUCCUGACUGUUGCAGCAAUCUACACAAAAUGGACAGGCUGCCUCUCAAACGCAGACGUUGAAAUUCCAGCGCAUUCUUGGAACUGAUGAAAUGUUUUGCUCUUUGACCAAAUGACACAUUAAGCAAUGCUGGCAGAAUCAUUAACGUUUACAGAGCAACUAAACAGUCAUGUUAUACGUGACAAAGCGCAGACCAAGAGAGGUUUCAUUCUGUGCAAGCAUUAAACUGUGACCGAAAUAAAAUUGAAAAUUGAAAUGGAGAAAUGUCCUUGGAAUCUGAAGACCUAGGAAUCUGUUAUAGUAUCCAGAGGUUAUGAAAACAGCAUACAUUCAAGAUAAUGUGUCAAAACAUAAUGUCGCUCUGUAAAAAGACUAUCGUCAAAGAAGGAAUAAGGUCGGAAACUAGGCUACAUUAAUGACCACUUAAUAACUAAUCCCAUUACUCUCUUUAAUUAAAUACUCACAAAGGUAGUUUCUAAUUUACGCAAGACAUACAGGAGACGAUUUAUCAACGAGGUUUAUCAUAUGUAACAAAUUUAAAAACUUGUUGCGUAUGAUAAAUGGUGCUUCAGCCAAUCAGCUCCUGUCAUGUGUUUAAAAAAAAAGGCAAUUAGGAGCUGAUUGGCUGGAGCCCUAUUUAUCAUAUGCAACAACUUUUAAAACUUGUUGCAUAUGAUGAAACGCGUUGCUAAAUCAGCCCCACAAUUCCUUUCUGCUCUACAUAUAUCUGUGUUAGACGUAUCAGUGACGUGCGGUGAGGUUGAGCCUUUCCGGUCAUAUGAAUGUAUAUGCCAGAGUUUUGACCAUAUCAAGUAUAUGAAAAAUACAAAGAAUAUGUUAAACAUAUCUUCUUUGUAUUAUUCUAAUCAUUUUUGAGUCAAAACUAUGGAGUAAAAAGUCUAUGAUACAGUAGGUGAGGCAGCUUGGUCUUACAAUGAGAUGUACAACCAAAGGAACUGUUCUUUAGGAGAGGUUCUCUUCUUAGGGUGCCCCCAGAUAUUAGAUAAAUGUUAAUGAAUUCUACUGAAAACUGCCUCUUCAAAACUGGGAUCACAGAGCAAUAUCCGAUAUGACACUAUGUAGUUAUUCUUACAUGCAGCACACUUCUUAUAAAAUAUUUGGAAUGCAAAAGAUGUAUGUUGUUUUCAUGGCCACUGCAAGCCUUUUCUGCAACAGUCCUUCAUUAAAUCCAACUG
Long non-coding RNA from Pseudophryne corroboree (corroboree frog), 1737 nucleotides. RefSeq lists it as uncharacterized. The record is from RefSeq and is a predicted model, not a curated record. NCBI's taxonomy places the organism in Eukaryota, Metazoa, Chordata, Amphibia, Anura, Myobatrachidae. The transcript is spliced from 5 exons.